UACAGAGGGUGCGAGCGUUUGUCCGGAAUCACUGGGCGUAAAGGGCGCGUAGGCGGCUCGGUAAGGUUGCGGUGAAAGCCCGGGGCUCAACCCCGGGUCGGCCGUGGCAACUGCUGGGCUCGAGCACUGUAGAGGCAGGUGGAAUUCCGGGUGUAGCGGUGGAAUGCGUAGAGAUCCGGAAGAACACCGGUGGCGAAGGCGGCCUGCUGGGCAGUGGCUGACGCUGAGGCGCGACAGCGUGGGGAGCAAACAGG
RNAcentral lists this ribosomal RNA (254 nucleotides) under uncultured bacterium. RNAcentral's name for it is "partial 16S ribosomal RNA". It matches the Rfam family "Bacterial small subunit ribosomal RNA", at positions 524 to 776 of the family's 1533-position model. The record is from RNAcentral.